GCUGAAGCCAAGGUUUGACUUUUAAGGAGCAGGUUUGUCAGCAGGUGUGAGCCCUCAGCGUUUUGGCCUUAAGGGGAUAGGCUUGCCCCUCUUCUGCCUGACCUUCUGCUGUCUACGUUCUGCAGAAAAGAGAAGAGGAGACACACUGAAACCGGUAGGACAGUGAGUGUGUCUCUAUCCUGAGCCACUUGCUAAUCCAGAAUAUUUUCCAGAGUAUUUUCACAAAAGUACAGCUUGCGUGGAAAUCCUGACUCCGUCUUCAGCCGAUCGGCAUGCCUUCUUAUCUCAGGGAUUUCCUGAUCAAUUCCAGCCGCCGACAGCUCAACAAAGUCUUGUGGAAAAUCUGAUCGGUUCUCCUAUACCUUGGAGAACAUUUAAGCCAGUCCAAGAUUCCUCUUGGCUGGCUUUUAACCUGAAAAAAGCUUCCUCUGAGGCAGAGCUCCCUCAGAGACAACCACCAGCCAGCACUCCUUCCGGGAAGUCCCAGGUCACUGGAAUAUAUCAGAGAACAACAACCUGUCCCCAUCCAUUAAAAAAAAAAGGAAACUGUGGCAGUUUAAUGCUGCAUGUAACUCAACUGAUAAAAGCCAUGUUAUUUAUUUGUAAUCCUUCAUAGCCUUAAAUCAAGAUUUUGGUGCAUGAUAUCAUAUGCUAAAGAACAGAAUCCCAGAUGAACUUUUAAAGUUUGUUUUAUAUCAUUUUGUAGCACAGUAUAUAAUGGUGGCUUGCAUUCCAUGAUUAUUUGUUCAUGCUACAAAUACAAGAUUUUGUAUAGUCUCUCCAGUGAGAUUUAUUUAGAACUGCUUGUGUGUGAGUAAGAGACAUAUAAAUCUAUGGCCGUGUAAAGUCAUUAUUUCUGAAUAAAAGUGAUUUUGUGAUCAUAACACAGAGCUAGGAAUCAGGUUUGGGAUUAGAAUUAGUUUCAGAAUAUUGACCAUCAGCAAAAUGCCGACAUUUUUAUUCUGUUUUUAUUCUGUACUAUAUCCCCAAGACUAGGAUUGCCAUAUUCCAGUUUCACAAAUCUGAGUCAGCUAAUUUGCAAAUUAUUUGCUAUUUAUGCAUUUAUUUGCUAUUUAUGCAAAUUAAGCAUAUUAAUAGUUGCAUUGUCCACUUGUUUUGUUUUUGUGCCUAGUAAAUACCACCAAAAACUGGGUGAGGAUAUGAGGAAUCUUUUUUUAAAAAGAAUUCAGCCUUAAAUGCCUAGACUCUAGUUUCCAGCACUUUGAAAUAUUUUUUUUUAUUUAUGUAGAGGAUUUAUAUCCUGCUCUCACGGCGGCUUACAAAAACAAGAAAAAUACAUAAAUAAAAGCAAUAUUGUGACCAAAAAGUUGUCUUAGCAACAGUUAGGAAAUGCGAAAUGAAUGCUACAACCUGUAAUGCAGACAAAAAUCAAGAUUUCAAUAUUAUCAGUUCAGUCAGUAAUAUUAUCUAAUUAGCUUCAAAGCAAGCAGUGUUUUCAUAGAAUCCUUUCCAACAACAGACGAUACUCCUGCAUUAGUUUGAAGUACCUGAAGACAUCCAAGCUUAUGCUGGGCAGUAAAUUGAAGAUUGGCAAAUAAAGAGGAAUGAUGUAUUCUGUCUUUAGAGUAUUUAAAUAUGCCACUAGAAAGAACAGAACCUUGGUGUGCAGCAAAGUUUGCCUGAAGUUCAGAGAAUUUUGAGUAUACAAUGUAUAUGGAGUCCUGCCAAAAAUAGUAGUAAAGUAAAAAAAUACUCAUAUACUGUUUUUCAACAAAGUUCCCAAAGUGGUUUAAAUAGCAAAAUAUAUAAUGUUUGAAAUUUGGCUGUAUAAAACAAGAUAGCUACAAACCAAUCAUUUUCAUUUCAAAUUUUAAAUAAGGGAAUUUCUCCCCGUCCUUGCAAAAACAAGAAUUGGGCUUUGAAUAUGGGAAAUAAUAAUAAAGAAAAUGGAUUUGAGUGAAUUCUACAGUACUAAAUCCUAAGCUUGUCUCUAUUAAUUAAUUUGGCAUUAGGAGUAUGGGAUGUCAGCCACUGCCAGAGGGCAAACAUGUAGCAUCAAGAGCAAAAUAUACCACAUAGUAAGCAAAUAAGGUUUCCCAAGCUGGUGAGUGUGGGAUGGAUUGUUCCAUUCCUAUUGGUCUCAAGGAAGGGGGAAGGUUCCAUCCCCCACUGCAAUGAAUAUAUAUAGAGUCUGUUUGCAUGUCCAAGCUGGAUUUAGAAAGGGAAAGAGGUACCAGAGAUCAUAUCGCAAACGUAUGUUGGAUAAUGGAAUGGACCAAGGAAUUUCAGAAGAAAAUCAUCCUGUGCUUUAUAGAUUACAGCAAAGCCUUUGACUGUGUAGAUCAUGAAAAACUAUGUAAUGCUUUAAAAGAAAUGGGGGUGCCACAGCAGCUGAUGAGCAACCUAUACUCUGAACAAGACGUUACUGUAAGGUCAGAAUAUGGAGAAACCUAUUGGUUCCCCAUUGGAAAGGGCAGGGCCGGUACCAGGCAUAACUGGGCCCUUGGGCACCAGCUUGCUCUGGGCGCGCAGCUCCUGCCUUUUUCACCUACCACUCUAUUGUCUCCUGUUGCUGCGUGCGCUGCGCACACAGGGCUGCCAUCCUCCAAGAUGGCAGAGGAAGCUUCUCUAAGGGGCUGAUGUCCCUGCUGCCAUCUUGGUUGAUGGCAGGCAUGUGCGGUAUGCUACGCGCACGUGCAUGCAAAUGCCUGCCAUCAACCAAGAUGGUGGUAGGAGCAUCAGCCCCUUAAAAGAGCCUCCGCUGCCAUCUUGGUUGAUGGCUACCCAGCUCACACAGCCUCAGAAAACAGGAGAGAGAGGUAGGUGGAGAGAGCGAACAGGUGGGCGGCCUGAAAGUGAGCCUGCCGCAGAUCAUGGAAGGGGAGCGUUACUCCCCCACCCUAAUGAGGGGCCCUUUGGGCCAUGGGGCCCUCGGCCAAGGCUCAACCUGGCUGCUCUUGAGCACAAAAGCAGGACUACAGCUGAACGUCAAGAAGACUAAAGUAAUGACAACAGAAGAUUUAUAUAUCUUUAAAGUUGACAAUGAGGACAUUGAGCUUGUCAAGGAUUAUCACUACCUUGGCACAGUCAUUACCCAAAAUGGAGACAAUAGUCAAGAAAUUAAAAGAAGGCUAGGGACUGGGGAGGGUAUAAGAACUAGAAAAGGUCAUCAAAUGCAAAGAUGUAUCACUAAACAGUAAAUUGUUUUUAAAUUUUUUAAAUUGUGUUUUUAAUUUUUUUGUGUGUUUUAAAAUUUGUAUAUUUGUUUUUAUUGUUUUUAAUUGCUGUAAACCGC
This is a long non-coding RNA of Rhineura floridana, 3256 nucleotides long. RefSeq lists it as uncharacterized. NCBI's taxonomy places the organism in Eukaryota, Metazoa, Chordata, Lepidosauria, Squamata, Rhineuridae. The record is from RefSeq and is a predicted model, not a curated record. The transcript has 3 exons.